GACGAACGCUGGCGGCGUGCUUAACACAUGCAAGUCGAACGGAAAGGCCCUGCUUUUGUGGGUUUCUCGAUUGGCGAACGGGUGUGUAACACGUGAGUAACCUCCCCUUGACUUUCGGAUAACUUCUGGAAACUGCGGCUAAUAUCCGAUAUGAUCUCUUGCUGCAUGGUGGUGGUUGGAAAGUUUCGGCGGUUGGGGAUGGACUCGCGGCUUAUCAGCUUGUUGGUCGGGUAGUGGCUUACCAAGGCUUUGACGGGUAGCCGACCUGAGAGGGUUACCGGGGACAAGGGGACUAAGAGAGGGCGCAGAAUCGUACGGGAGGCAGAAGGGGAGAAUAUGACACAGUGGGGGGAAGCCUGAUGCAGAAACGCCGGGUGCGGAAUGACGGCCUUCGAGUUGUAAACAGCUUUCGAAGGUGACGAAGAGUGAGUGACGGUAAUGAGUAAAGAAGCACCGGCUAACUACGUG
Molecule: ribosomal RNA, 468 nt
Filed under: uncultured bacterium
Lineage: Bacteria
Description: partial 16S ribosomal RNA
Rfam family: Bacterial small subunit ribosomal RNA
Source: RNAcentral